GACGAACGCUGGCGGCGCGCUUAACACAUGCAAGUCGAGCGAUGAAACUUUAACAGCACCCUUCGGGGCGAAGAUAAAGUGGAUUAGCGGCGGACGGGUGAGUAACACGUGAGUAACCUGCCUUAGACAUUGGGAUAGCCUCGGGAAACCGGGAUUAAUACCAAAUAAAAUCAUAAUGACACAUGUCAUAACGAUCAAAACUCCGGUGGUCUAAGAUGGACUCGCGUCCCAUUAGCUAGUUGGUAGAGUAAAAGCCUACCAAGGCGGCGAUGGGUAGCCGGCCUGAGAGGGUGAACCGCCACAUUGGAACUGAGAAACGGUCCAAACUCCUACGGGACGGAGCAGUGGGGAAUAUUGCACAAUGGAGGGAACUCUGAUGCAGCGACGCCGCGUGAACGAAGAAGGCUUUCGAGUCGUAAAGUUCUUUUAUAUGGGAAGAUAAUGACGGUACCAGAAGAAAAAGCCCCGGCUAACUACGUG
This 480-nucleotide ribosomal RNA is filed under the name uncultured bacterium. RNAcentral describes it as "partial 16S ribosomal RNA". It matches the Rfam family "Bacterial small subunit ribosomal RNA", at positions 28 to 507 of the family's 1533-position model. The record is from RNAcentral.